Molecule: ribosomal RNA, 440 nt
Filed under: uncultured bacterium
Lineage: Bacteria
Description: partial 16S ribosomal RNA
Rfam family: Bacterial small subunit ribosomal RNA
Source: RNAcentral
CCUACGGGAGGCAGCAGUGGGGAAUAUUGCACAAUGGGGGAAACCCUGAUGCAGCGACGCCGCGUGAGUGAAGAAGUAUUUCGGUAUGUAAAGCUCUAUCAGCAGGGAAGAAAAUGACGGUACCUGACUAAGAAGCCCCGGCUAACUACGUGCCAGUAGCCGCGGUAAUACGUAGGGGGCAAGCGUUAUCCGGAUUUACUGGGUGUAAAGGGAGCGUAGGCGGCAAGGUAAGCCAGAAGUGAAAGCCCGCGGCUCAACUGCGGGACUGCUUUUGGAACUAUCUAGCUAGAGUGCAGGAGAGGUAAGUGGAAGUCCUAGUGUAGCGGUGAAAUGCGUAGAUAUUAGGAGGAACACCAGUGGCGAAGGCGACUUACUGGACUGUAAAUGACGCUGAGGCUCGAAAGCGUGGGGAGCAAACAGGAUUAGAUACCCGGGUAGUC